RNAcentral lists this ribosomal RNA (506 nucleotides) under uncultured bacterium. RNAcentral's name for it is "partial 16S ribosomal RNA". It matches the Rfam family "Bacterial small subunit ribosomal RNA", at positions 29 to 523 of the family's 1533-position model. The record is from RNAcentral.
AGUGAACGCUGGCGGUAGGCCUAACACAUGCAAGUCGAACGGCAGCACAGGAGAGCUUGCUCUCUGGGUGGCGAGUGGCGGACGGGUGAGGAAUACAUCGGAAUCUACUUUUUCGUGGGGGAUAACGUAGGGAAACUUACGCUAAUACCGCAUACGACCUACGGGUGAAAGCCGGGGAUCUUCGGACCUUUCGCGAUUGAAUGAGCCGACUUCGGCUUAGCUAGUUGGCGGGGUAAAGGCCCACCAAGGCGACGAUCCGUAGCUGGUCUGAGAGGAUGAUCAGCCACACUGGAACUGAGACACGGUCCAGACUCCUACGGGAGGCAGCAGUGGGGAAUAUUGGACAAUGGGCGCAAGCCUGAUCCAGCCAUACCGCGUGGGUGAAGAAGGCCUUCGGGUUGUAAAGCCCUUUUGUUGGGAAAGAAAUCCAGCUGGUUAAUACCCGGUUGGGAUGACGGUACCCAAAGAAUAAGCACCGGCUAACUUAGGGCCAGCAGCCGCCGCCG